Molecule: non-coding RNA, 25 nt
Filed under: Rattus norvegicus (Norway rat)
Lineage: Eukaryota; Metazoa; Chordata; Mammalia; Rodentia; Muridae
Source: RNAcentral
UACUAGGAGAAUUUGCGAGGGUCAC